GACGAACGCUGGCGGCGUGCUUAACACAUGCAAGUCGAGCGGUAAGGCCCUUUCGGGGGUACACGAGCGGCGAACGGGUGAGUAACACGUGGGUGACCUGCCCUUAGCUCUGGGAUAAGCCUGGGAAACUGGGUCUAAUACCGGAUAUGACUCCAUGACGCAUGUUGUGGGGUGGAAAGCCUUGUGCGGCUAGGGAUGGGCCUGCGGCCUAUCAGCUUGUUGGUGGGGUGANGGCCUACCAAGGCGACGACGGGUAGCCGGCCUGAGAGGGCGACCGGCCACACUGGGACUGAGACACGGCCCAGACUCCUACGGGAGGCAGCAGUGGGGAAUCUUGCGCAAUGGGCGAAAAGCCUGACGCAGCGACGCCGCGUGGGGAUGACGGCCU
This 388-nucleotide ribosomal RNA is filed under the name uncultured bacterium. RNAcentral's name for it is "bacterial SSU rRNA". It matches the Rfam family "Bacterial small subunit ribosomal RNA", at positions 28 to 417 of the family's 1533-position model. The record is from RNAcentral.